Cyprinus carpio (common carp) is the source of this 997-nucleotide long non-coding RNA. RefSeq lists it as uncharacterized. The transcript has 3 exons. The record is from RefSeq and is a predicted model, not a curated record. Lineage: Eukaryota; Metazoa; Chordata; Actinopteri; Cypriniformes; Cyprinidae.
UCAUCUCACAGAAGGAUUUAUUUUAAACACUCGACUGACGUUAUGAAGUGAGUUUGGAGUAAAAACAUGUUAUUAAAUGUGGUAUUCUCACGUGCUCUCAGAUGGAGCAGCAUUUACUACAUAGAGCCGUAGUUCACCGAGAACAUACACAAACAGCUGUCAUAAUAUCAUGAUCAUACAAUUAAAUUAAUCUGCGAUUAUGAACGCGAUUUUGAAUAGCUUGUCAGAGAACUAUGGCUCUGCGUAGUAAAUGCUGCUCCAUCUGAAAGCAGGUGAUGGAGAUUUACUGCUAAUCACAGAACCGGCUUUACUGACUAAAUGCGCAUGACAAUCUUGAUUAAUCGCGUGCGAUUAAUCGUCCAACCCUAGCUACUGUGAACCUUGGCCAUUUCAGAUGUUUUCACCCCAUCAUCAGUCGUUUAUGUGAGCUCCCUCCACCAUGUAAUCUACAGAGAAUGAGGUGGAAUGAAUCACUGAAUGAUUUUCCUGUCACCCAUUGGCCUCUGUUCUACCUGAGAGACGUGCAGCAUUCUAAUGCAUCUCUGCUGAGGUGGGAGUGUGUGUGUAUUUGUGUGAAUGUGAAUGAGUGGGAACCUUUAGAGGUCGUACCUGAGGGCCAGAUACUCAUGUUGCAGACGGGCUUGAAAAGCACUCAUUGAUUCCUCUGUCUAGAGUGAGGCAUUUAUGGAGCACAAAAGAAGAUAUUGCAGAAUGCCCAAAAGUAUUUGCUUUUAUAAUGAAAAGAAAAUAAUAAAAAAAAGAAAGAAAGAAAAUUGGUUUGUGGAGCUUACUGGUUAUCUCAGAGCUUGGUUCACCCAAUCUGUUUUUGUUAAAGUCAACAUGAAAUAAAAAAUUUGCACUUUCAUUUAUUUUAUUCUGAUGUGACCAUAUGAGUGAGGAAAAAUAGUUGGGAAUGGUUUGACCUAGAAAGAUUGGUGAAAUAGGGUUAGUGUUUUAUAUAUAAACAUUUAUAAGGAUUUGUAAAAAAUAAUUAUCU